CCAAUAGCGUAUAUUAAAGUUGUUGCAGUUAAAAAGCUCGUAGUUGAACCUCGGGGUCUACCCAUUGGUCAGGCUUAAUUGUCUGCACUGGUGAGAUGGAUCUCUACCUUCUGAGGAACUUUCAUGCCAUUUAUUUGGUGUGAUGGGAAAUCAGGACUGUUACUUUGAAAAAAUUAGAGUGUUUAAAGCAGACUAUCGUCUGAAUACAUUAGCAUGGAAUAAUGAAAUAGGACGGACUGAUUCUAUUUCGUUGGUUUCUAGGAUCACCGUAAUGAUUAAUAGGGAUAGUUGGGGGCAUUAGUAUUCAAUUGUCAGAGGUGAAAUUAUUGGAUUUAUUGAAGACUAACUACUGCGAAAGCAUUUGCCAAGGAUGUUUUCAUUAAUCAAGAACGAAAGUUAGGGGAUCGAAGACGAUCAGAUACCGUCGUAGUCUUAACCAUAAACUAUGCCGACUAGGGAUCGGAUGAUGUUAAUUUUAUAAUGACUCAUUCGGCGCCUUACG
This 502-nucleotide ribosomal RNA is filed under the name uncultured Glomeromycotina. Its description in RNAcentral is "partial small subunit ribosomal RNA". It matches the Rfam family "Eukaryotic small subunit ribosomal RNA", at positions 591 to 1092 of the family's 1831-position model. Lineage: Eukaryota; Fungi; Glomeromycota. The record is from RNAcentral.